AAAAAGACAAACCAUGGGUUUCCGUAUCCAACUUUGACUGUCCGUCUUAUAUGAAAUUUUUUUAUAAUUAAUAUUUUAUGCGUGACUUGUCUUUUUAAUUUUUUUCAUAAUUUUUUCAAAUAAGACGGACAGCCAAACAUUAGACAUGGAAACCAGGGUUUGUCUUUUU
This is a non-coding RNA of Oryza nivara, 169 nucleotides long. Lineage: Eukaryota; Viridiplantae; Streptophyta; Magnoliopsida; Poales; Poaceae. The record is from Rfam.